Long non-coding RNA from Gavialis gangeticus (Gharial), 205 nucleotides. RefSeq lists it as uncharacterized. NCBI's taxonomy places the organism in Eukaryota, Metazoa, Chordata, Crocodylia, Gavialidae. The record is from RefSeq and is a predicted model, not a curated record. The transcript is spliced from 3 exons.
GAAACGUAGGGUGGAAAGGCAGGAGGUUGCAUAGAAGGGAAUAGGAAUAUCGGGAGGGUAGCUGGGCACAAAAAGCUGCAUGACCUAGGAUUACAGUUGCUAUGGCAAUCAAGCUGUUAUAUAGGAGGAAGAAGCUAAAGAUAUCUGGCAAGGAGGAAAAGGAUGUGUAACCCUGUCCUUGUGAUCCUUGAGGAAAACCGAUGAG